AGAGUUUGAUCCUGGCUCAGGACGAACGCUGGCGGCGCGCCUAAAACAUGCAAGUCGAACGAGAAGCUCGGGUUCGCUCGGGUGGACAGUGGCGAACGGGUGAGUAACACGUGAGGAACCUGCCCCGAAGACCGGGAUAACACCGGGAAACCGGUGCUAAUACCGGAUGCCCUCGCAGGAUCGCAUGUCCCUGCGAGGAAAUGGAUUCCGCUUCGGGAUGGCCUCGCGGCCUAUCAGCUUGUUGGUGAGGUAACGGCUCACCAAGGCGACGACGGGUAGCUGGUCUGAGAGGAUGUCCAGCCACACUGGGACUGAGACACGGCCCAGACUCCUACGGGAGGCAGCAGUUAGGAAUCUUGCGCAAUGGGCGAAAGCCUGACGCAGCGACGCCGCGUGCGGGAUGACGGCCUUCGGGUUGUAAAGCACUUUUGGACGGGAAGAGGAAGGACGGUACCGUUCGAAUAAGCCUCGGCUAACUACGUGCCAGCAGCCGCGGUAAUAC
This 502-nucleotide ribosomal RNA is filed under the name uncultured bacterium. Its description in RNAcentral is "bacterial SSU rRNA". It matches the Rfam family "Bacterial small subunit ribosomal RNA", at positions 8 to 526 of the family's 1533-position model. The record is from RNAcentral.